This 478-nucleotide ribosomal RNA is filed under the name uncultured bacterium. RNAcentral describes it as "bacterial SSU rRNA". It matches the Rfam family "Bacterial small subunit ribosomal RNA", at positions 28 to 507 of the family's 1533-position model. The record is from RNAcentral.
GGCUAACGCUGGCGGCGUGUCUUAGCCAUGCAAGUCGAGCGGACUUAUGGGGUAACUUAUAAGUCAGCGGCGGACGGCGGAGUAACACGUAGCUAACCUACCCUCUGGACGGGGAUAACCUACCGAAAAGGUGGGCUAAUACCCGAUGUAGUCAUCCUGUAUAGGGGUGAUGAAAGGUGGGCUUCUGUUUACAAGCUCAUGCUGGAGGAGGGGGCUGCGGCCUAUCAGGUAGUUGGUAGGGUAAUAGCCUACCAAGCCGAUGACGGGUAGCCGGCCUGAGAGGGUGGACGGCCACACUGGGACUGAGACACGGCCCAGACUCCUACGGGAGGCAGCAGUAGGGAAUUUUCCGCAAUGGACGGAAGUCUGACGGAGCGACGCCGCGUGAGGGAUGACGGCCUUCGGGUUGUAAACCUCUUUCACCCAUGACGAAGCGCAAGUGACGGUAGUGGGAGAAGAAGCACCGGCCAACUACGUG